This 301-nucleotide ribosomal RNA is filed under the name uncultured bacterium. Its description in RNAcentral is "partial 16S ribosomal RNA". It matches the Rfam family "Bacterial small subunit ribosomal RNA", at positions 509 to 807 of the family's 1533-position model. The record is from RNAcentral.
CAGCAGCCGCGGGAAUACAGAGGGUGCGAGCGUUAAUCGGAUUUACUGGGCGUAAAGCGUGCGUAGGCGGCUUCUUAAGUCGGAUGUGAAAUCCCUGAGCUUAACUUGGGAAUUGCAUUCGAUACUGGGAAGCUAGAGUAUGGGAGAGGAUGGUAGAAUUCCAGGUGUAGCGGUGAAAUGUGUAGAGAUCUGGAGGAAUACCGAUGGCGAAGGCAGCCAUCUGGCCUAAUACUGACGCUGAGGUACGAAAGCAUGGGGAGCAAACAGGAUUAGAUACCCCUGUAGUCCCUGUCUCUUAUAC